GAAAUGCGAUAAGUAAAGUGAAUUGCAGAAUUCCGUGAAUCAUCGAAUCUUUGAACGCACAUUGCGCCCUCUGGCAUUCCGGGGGGCAUGCCUGUCCGAGCGUCAUUACGCACCCUCAAGCCCGGCUUGUGUGAUGGGCCCCGGCGUCUCGUUCGCGAGACGGGCCCGAAAGGCAGCGGCGGCGUCGACCCGAUGAGCCCGAGCGUAUGGGGACUUCUGUCACACGUUCGCGGUGCGGACCGGCGCCUGCUUGACUUUUCUGAUUAUCCAGGUUGACCUCGGAUCAGGUAGGGAUACCCGCUGAACUUAAGC
This 312-nucleotide unclassified non-coding RNA is filed under the name plant metagenome. RNAcentral's name for it is "partial contains 5.8S ribosomal RNA, internal transcribed spacer 2, and large subunit ribosomal RNA". The stretch from base 1 to 105 matches the Rfam family "5.8S ribosomal RNA", at positions 50 to 154 of the family's 154-position model. The record is from RNAcentral.